GUCUGGACUAGCACCCUGUUACAUUAGUAGUACUUUAUAUGGGCCAGGUGCAGUGGCUCACACCUGUAAUGCCAGCACUUUGGAAGGCCGAGGCAGGUGGAUCACUUGAGGUCAGGAGUUUGAGACCAGCCUGGCCAACAUGGUGAAACCUGGUCUCUAUCAAAAGUACAAAAUUUAGCUGGGCAUGGUGGCGUGCACCUGUAAUCCCAGCUACUUGAGAGGCUGAGUCAGGAGAAUUGCUUGAGCCCAGGAGGAGGGAAUUGCAGUGAGCCAUGAUCAUUCCAUUACACUCCAGCCUAGGUGACAGAGAGAGACUCCAUCUCAAAAAAAAAGUAGUACUUUGUAUGUUUUUAUUUUACAAUGAAUAUGCCUCAGGGAUAGGGUUUGUAGCAAUAUGUAUUUGAAGAAAAGAAUACACAUUACUGUGUUUGCAGGGGCCCAAAGAUUGUAGCUAUCCAGUAUAUCCUAUUGUUUUUUGCUUCAUGCCCACUCCCUUCUGAUAGCUGUAAGAAAAGAUGUCAUCAUAUGGUAAAGCGUUUAGCACAACCCUUGGCUCAUAGUAAACACUCAGGAGCUGUUACUUUCCAUUAUAAUUCUGGGAGCAUAGCCAUGACCUACAACCCUUCCCUUCACCAUUGUCAAGAGCAAAAAUGCUGGCCACCAUGGCCCGUGUCCAUUCUCAUGUAUCUGUGCAGGAAUAAAUGGCUCAAUCUUAUGAAUUUCCUCUAAUACCUGCACUAGGUCCUUCCGAACUUCUGGCAAGUUAUAAUUUCAGAACAGUUACCAAAGGAGUAGGGCAUUUACUAAAGGGGUAGAUCCUUUAUUUCAUGGUCAGUGCAGCCAACAUGACCUCCACAUACAUUCUUCACCCAUCUUUCCUUCACAUGGCUCUGCUCACUACUGCCCAUCACCCAGCCUCCUGAAAGGCAGCUAUGUCUUGCUCAGAAGCUGUAAGUGUUGGGGGAGGGAUAGAAGGCUGCAUUUGACAGGAAACUUUCUAUUUUAUUUCGUGUAAAGGACUGCUUCUGCCAUGCCUUUCAGCUGUGCAAAGAUAAAGGCAUAAAGCAUUGUCUCCGUGAUUAAGAGCAAGGCUAGUCAGCAUAGCUUCCUCAGAUUGAGGCUUUUCUUUCCAAGAAGUAAAGAAGCAACUCUAUUACUGUUGGCAAUGAAUAGGGGGUGUGUGUGUGUGUCUAGAGAGAGAGAGAGGUGGGGAGACAGAGACAAAGACAACGACAGACAGGUGGGAGUGGAGAGGGAUGGAAUACAUGAAUGUUGCCUGCAAUGAGUAUAAAAAAUUUAAAAAUCCUUUCACAAUCCAGUUCCACACCUAAACACUGAGUUCUCAGAAGUUCUGGGUCUUUUUUCUCUGUGAGCAUUUCAUUUUCUCAGUCUGCUGGGCAGUUACUUGAAGAGCAUUUUCCAAAGAGGAUGAUGCAGCACAGUAAGUGGCCCUAGAGACUGCCCCGUUCAAACCUAAAUCAGCUGUUGUUAACACUGCCUGAGAGCUAUUUGGCAGUCUCUGUCCAAACAUUUCACAGCAGCGGCUGCCCACCUCCUUGUCUCCUUACAGCUCUGACCAAAUGGCCAAGUUGGGAUGGACUGGCUACUUGGUGCAACAGACAUUCAAGGUGAAUGGGUAAGUCCUAAACCAGGUGAAUCCUUAUCCACAUUGCCAACCCUGGAAAGCCAUAUCUUCAGAGACCACAUAAUUUGAACAGGCCCUGUGCCUGACACAUCCGAGCUGAGAAAGUGGGUCAGAAGAGUUGGAUAUUUGGGAAUAUAAAACUGCCUAGUUGCCAGGCACGGUGGCUCACGCCUGUAAUCCCAGCACUUCGGGAGGCUGAGGCGGGCAGAUCAUGAGGCCAGGAGUUUGAGACCAGCCUGGCCAAUAUGGUGAAACCCCCAUCUCUACUAAAAAUACAAAAAUUAGCUGGGCGUGGUGGUGUGCACCUGUAGUCCCAGCUACUGGGGAGGCUGAGGCAGGAGAAUUGCUUGAACCCAGGAGGUGGAGGUUGCAGUGAGCCGAGAUCGUGCCGCUGCACUCCAGCUGAGGCAGCAUAGUGAGACUCCAUCUCAAAAAAAAAAAAAAAA
Molecule: long non-coding RNA, 2091 nt
Filed under: Macaca fascicularis (crab-eating macaque)
Lineage: Eukaryota; Metazoa; Chordata; Mammalia; Primates; Cercopithecidae
Description: lncRNA (ENSMFAG00000056465.1)
Source: RNAcentral